UUGCUAUCUGCGAUUUGAACGAUUCGAACCUGCCGCAGGUUCGAGCCGAACAACGUGAGGCAGCGGAGCCGUUUACGGCGACGACCCGAAGGGCGAGCGAAGCGAGUCAUCCUGCACGACCCACCA
This 126-nucleotide small RNA is filed under the name Enterobacter cloacae. RNAcentral's name for it is "RtT sRNA". It matches the Rfam family "RtT RNA". From Rfam's summary of the family: This family represents a bacterial cis-regulatory element known as RtT RNA. RNAcentral also lists the same sequence under 5 other names. Lineage: Bacteria; Pseudomonadati; Pseudomonadota; Gammaproteobacteria; Enterobacterales; Enterobacteriaceae. The record is from RNAcentral.